Molecule: ribosomal RNA, 612 nt
Filed under: Salmonella enterica
Lineage: Bacteria; Pseudomonadati; Pseudomonadota; Gammaproteobacteria; Enterobacterales; Enterobacteriaceae
Also listed under: 1 other name
Description: partial 23S ribosomal RNA
Rfam family: Bacterial large subunit ribosomal RNA
Source: RNAcentral
UGGUGGGUAGUUUGACUGGGGCGGUCUCCUCCUAAAGAGUAACGGAGGAGCACGAAGGUUGGCUAAUCCUGGUCGGACAUCAGGAGGUUAGUGCAAUGGCAUAAGCCAGCUUGACUGCGAGCGUGACGGCGCGAGCAGGUGCGAAAGCAGGUCAUAGUGAUCCGGUGGUUCUGAAUGGAAGGGCCAUCGCUCAACGGAUAAAAGGUACUCCGGGGAUAACAGGCUGAUACCGCCCAAGAGUUCAUAUCGACGGCGGUGUUUGGCACCUCGAUGUCGGCUCAUCACAUCCUGGGGCUGAAGUAGGUCCCAAGGGUAUGGCUGUUCGCCAUUUAAAGUGGUACGCGAGCUGGGUUUAGAACGUCGUGAGACAGUUCGGUCCCUAUCUGCCGUGGGCGCUGGAGAACUGAGGGGGGCUGCUCCUAGUACGAGAGGACCGGAGUGGACGCAUCACUGGUGUUCGGGUUGUCAUGCCAAUGGCACUGCCCGGUAGCUAAAUGCGGAAGAGAUAAGUGCUGAAAGCAUCUAAGCACGAAACUUGCCCCGAGAUGAGUUCUCCCUGAGACUUUAGGUCUCCUGAAGGAACGUUGAAGACGACGACGUUGAUAGGCCGGG